Ailuropoda melanoleuca (giant panda) is the source of this 630-nucleotide long non-coding RNA. RefSeq lists it as uncharacterized. The record is from RefSeq and is a predicted model, not a curated record. Lineage: Eukaryota; Metazoa; Chordata; Mammalia; Carnivora; Ursidae. The transcript has 3 exons.
ACUUGUCCCUUUUAUGGCUGGUUCCAAAGGCCUAAAAGCUUUGUGUGGCCUCUGUACAUUCUGCUGUUUCCUCACCCCUCACCCAUCACUGCACUGGCCCCUAUUCUCUGGGUGCCUAAGGAAAAGAAGAAGGUGUCCCUGACCAAACUGUUCUCAAGAAGUGACCAUGAAAAAGCUUUCUCCCCUACCACAAAACAGUGUCCAGGCUGGACCUUCCACAGGAAUGAGGAUUCAGUGAUUCUCCACUUCAUGUGGCCACAAAGAGGUGCUUGGUAAUGUCCGCUUGAUGGAUGGCUGGACAAGAUACGUGACUGUGGGUGAAGAAGGCAAUCUUGGCAUACUCCUCCACAAGACAAAGACCUGCUUAACAGUGAAAACCAAUCAAAUCACAGCUUUCCUAUGUUGUAGCCUUUAUCCUGGGGGAAGCAAGCUGCCAUAUUUUGACUAGCUUCUAAACAGAAGCCCAUUUGCCAAAAAACUGAUGUGUCCAACCAAAGCCAGUGAGGCCAAGAAGCUUGCCAAUAGGCACUUGAGGGAACUUGGAAGGGGUUCUCUCUACCUUCAGCCUUGAGACAACUGUAGUCCUAGCCGAUAUUGCUUACAGCCGGUGAAAGAUACUGCAUCAAACAC